Molecule: ribosomal RNA, 427 nt
Filed under: uncultured beta proteobacterium
Lineage: Bacteria; Pseudomonadati; Pseudomonadota; Betaproteobacteria
Description: bacterial SSU rRNA
Rfam family: Bacterial small subunit ribosomal RNA
Source: RNAcentral
UGGGGAAUUUUGGACAAUGGGCGAAAGCCUGAUCCAGCCAUGCCGCGUGAGUGAAGAAGGCCUUCGGGUUGUAAAGCUCUUUUAGUCGGAAAGAAAGAGUUGCAAUGAAUAAUUGUGAUUUAUGACGGUACCGACAGAAAAAGCACCGGCUAACUACGUGCCAGCAGCCGCGGUAAUACGCAGGGUGCGAGCGUUAAUCGGAAUUACUGGGCGUAAAGGGUGCGCAGGCGGUCUUGCAAGUCAGAUGUGAAAGCCCCGGGCUUAACCUGGGAAUUGCGUUUGAAACUACAAGACUAGAGUGCAGCAGAGGGGAGUGGAAUUCCAUGUGUAGCAGUGAAAUGCGUAGAGAUGUGGAAGAACACCGAUGGCGAAGGCAGCUCCCUGGGUUGACACUGACGCUCAUGCACGAAAGCGUGGGGAGCAAACA